Molecule: transfer RNA, 84 nt
Filed under: Felis catus (domestic cat)
Lineage: Eukaryota; Metazoa; Chordata; Mammalia; Carnivora; Felidae
Rfam family: tRNA
About the family: Transfer RNA (tRNA) molecules are approximately 80 nucleotides in length.
Source: Rfam by way of RNAcentral
GCCUGGUUGGCUCAGUUGGUUGAGUGUCUGACUUUGGCUCAGGUCAUGAUGUCACAGUUUGUGGGCUAAGUCCUGCAUCAGGCU